GAUGAACGCUAGCGACAGGCCUAACACAUGCAAGUCGAGGGGCAGCACGAAUCAAGCUUGCUUGAUUUGGUGGCGACCGGCGCACGGGUGCGUAACAGGUGUGCAAUCUGUCCAUAAUCGGGGAAUAGCCCAGCGAAAGUUGGAUUAAUGCUCCAUGUGAGCAGGGGAGCAUCUCCUUUGUUUGAAACGUAAGGAUUAUGGGUGAGCACGCUUCUGAUUAGGUAGUUGGUGAGGUAACGGCUCACCAAGCCGACGAUCAGUAGGGGUUCUGAGAGGAAGGUCCCCCACAUUGGAACUGAGACACGGUCCAAACUCCUACGGGAGGCAGCAGUGAGGAAUAUUGGUCAAUGGACGAAGUCUGAACCAGCCAAGUCGCGUGAAGGAUG
This 386-nucleotide ribosomal RNA is filed under the name uncultured bacterium. RNAcentral's name for it is "bacterial SSU rRNA". It matches the Rfam family "Bacterial small subunit ribosomal RNA", at positions 28 to 410 of the family's 1533-position model. The record is from RNAcentral.